Homo sapiens (human) is the source of this 1816-nucleotide long non-coding RNA. RefSeq annotates it as long independently transcribed non-coding RNA 2503. The record is from RefSeq and is marked validated. The transcript is spliced from 7 exons. Lineage: Eukaryota; Metazoa; Chordata; Mammalia; Primates; Hominidae.
AAGUCCGUAGUUUACAUUAAGGAAGACUCCUGAUGUUGUACACUCUAUGGAUUCUACAAAUGUAUAAUGAUGAAAAAUGAAAGUACCUUUUAUUGGUCCCCUCCUGCAACCAGGACUGAUGAGACAAUCAAACUUCAGAUAAUCAUGCAACAAGGUUUCCAGCCAGUUCCAGGUGUAGACACCACUCCCAGCCAUCAAGAAACUACUGUCAAGGCAAGGGUUCUGUGAUCCUCAAUAGGUACGAAUCCUGGAAGUGGAAAGGAAGGGGCAUGAAUUUCGGAAAUGGGGAAGAAGAAGAAACGACAGCAACUAGAUGUCAUAAUUUACAGCAGCAGAUGUGAAGCAAGUUUUUGGAUUAUGGCCAGUGGAAAGAAAGCAUGCCAGACAGCUAAUGGGAGGCAAGAGUAGUGUGACAUGUGGAUGGACUGGAGGGCAGGGAUGUGCAUUAUAUUUAAUAGGAGGCAACUUCUCUGCAUGCUAUGGAGCCCAUAAAAUCAUCAACUAAAUCUCAGAGCAUUAAAAGCUGCUCUCAAUCCAAUAUUAAAUUUGAAUUUUGGGUAAAUGCUGGAGGGGCUCCAAUUUGGAAGUGUUACAUUAUCAAGUUAAAUCAUAAGAGCAAUUUAUAAAAGAGAUAGCUUGGAAUUAAACUACAAAAGCUGCUUAAGGUAAAAUAUGCGAGGGAACUCUCUUGUUGCCAUUGUGAGACCCUGGAGAACAGAUGGAACCAACUCUCAAGCUUCUGCUCGGGCAGAAAUAAAGAUGUUCUUUGAAACCAACGAGAACAAAGACACAACAUACCAGAAUCUCUGGGACACAUUCAAAGCAGUGUGUAGAGGGAAAUUUAUAGCACUAAAUGCCCACAAGAGAAAGCAGGAAAGAUCCAAAAUUGACACCCUAACAUCACAAUUAAAAGAACUAGAAAAGCAAGAGCAAACACAUUCAAAACCUAGCAGAAGGCAAGAAAUAACUAAAAUCAGAGCAGAACUGAAGGAAAUAGAGACACAAAAAACCCUUCAAAAAAUUAAUGAAUCCAGGAGCUGCUUUUUUGAAAGGAUCAACAAAAUUGAUAGACCGCUAGCAAGACUAAUAAAGAAGAAAAGAGAGAAGAAUCAAAUAGAUGCAAUAAAAAAUGAUAAAGGGGAUAUCACCACCGAUCCCACAGAAAUACAAACUACCAUCAGAGAAUACUACAAACACCUCUACACAAAUAAACUAGAAAAUCUAGAAGAAAUGGAUAAAUUCCUCAACACAUACACCCUCCCAAUACUAAACCAGGAAGAAGUUGAAUCUCUGAAUAGACAAAUAACAGGCUCUGAAAUUGUGGCAAUAAUCAAUAGCUUACCAACCAAAAAGAGUCCAGGACCAGAUGGAUUCACAGCCGAAUUCUACCAGUGGUACAAGGAGAAACUGGUACCAUUCCUUCUGAAACUAUUCCAAUCAAUAGAAAAAGAGGGAAUCCUCCCUAACUCAUUUUAUGAGGCCAGCAUCAUCCUGAUACCAAAGCCGGGCAGAGACACAACCAAAAAAGAGAAUUUUAGACCAAUAUCCUUGAUGAACAUUGAUGCAAAAAUCCUCAAUAAAAUACUGGCAAACUGAAUCCAGCAGCACAUCAAAAAGCUUAUCCACCAUGAUCAAGUGGGCUUCAUCCCUGGGAUGCGAGGCUGGUUCAAUAUAUGCAAAUCAAUAAAUGUAAUCCAGCAUAUAAACAUAACCAAAGACAAAAACCACAUGAUUAUCUCCAUAGAUGCAGAAAAGGCCUUUGACAAAAUUUGGCACUCUUGUUCUUUCAAAUAAAUCUUUUUUCCUACCCUGCUGA